This is a non-coding RNA of Cricetulus griseus (Chinese hamster), 73 nucleotides long. The record is from Rfam. Lineage: Eukaryota; Metazoa; Chordata; Mammalia; Rodentia; Cricetidae.
GGGGGUGUAGCUCAGUUGGUAGAGUGCUUGCCUUGCACACACUGAGCCCUGGGUUCAAUCCCCAGCACCACAU